Molecule: non-coding RNA, 3150 nt
Organism: Nicotiana tabacum (common tobacco)
Lineage: Eukaryota; Viridiplantae; Streptophyta; Magnoliopsida; Solanales; Solanaceae
Source: RefSeq, a predicted model, not a curated record
CAUGACACAGACAAGAACCUAGGGUUCUUCAGUUUUCCUUUUUCUUCAAAUGCGCCUACUUCAUAUAUUCCAAAAAAUCUAAGGUAAGGUUUUACUGCUUUGGGUGUUUACUUGUGGUUUGGGAAUAUUUGGGUAGUUGUAAAUGGUGUCGUUUUCCAUGCCUUUAGUGUGUUUAAAAUUAUAUUUUUUAAAUUUAUAUUUGUGUUGUUUAUACUUUAUUACUUGUAGUGGUCCAUCUCUGGUUUUUAUUCUUUUUGACUUCAAUUUUGCAUUAAAAAAUUGGCCGUGGGGGUCCUUUUCUCUUUGAAUAUUGUCUAAUAUGGUCGUUUUCCUUUCUUUAAUAUUUUACAUGUGACUCGGUUCAAGAAUGGUUGAAAAUAUAGACUUGAUUUUUAAUUAUGGGGGACAGUGGAUUUGGAAACCACAACUGGCGUACCAUAAAAAAUUGAUUCACGUAUGGAGAGGUUAUGAAGUGGACUUGCUAUCUUAUAUUGAUAUAUGUUGAGAGUUCAAAGAAAAACUCGAUUUUAGUGAGGUGAGGCAACUUCUAGUAACUGUUCCAUCUGGUAUGUUCUCUGUGGUCGAGGGAGAUGAAGGUAUUAGAUCUCUUCAACAUCUAUUGUCUGAUAAUUUCAAGGUUGUGAAUUUCUUUGCGGUUGAUGACUAUGAAGGAGAUAUUGGGUCAAUUGUAAAUAUUAUUCACCACAAUGCCAGUACUAAUGUUCAUAUAAAUGUUGGAACAGAUUGUGAUAGUAGUGAGGAUGAGGAAUGUGGUGAAACUGUAUCUAGUGAAUAUGACAGUGACGAGUUGGAAGUUUAUAGGAAACAAAGGAAGUUCGAUAUCAAUGAUAAACUGGACAAGUACAAAGUUUUGGAUAAUGGUAUAACCUUUAAAGAUCUUGAUGAAGCUAAACAAGUUAUAGACUUCUAUGCAGUUGCAAAUAAGAGGAGUGUUAUAGUUAAGAAAAGUGACAAAUCUAGAGUUAGUUAUCGUUGUGUCGAUGGUUGUCCUUAAAUGUUUUAUUUCGAAGGAUGGGAAAUAUCAAGGCUUUAAGAUCAAGACCUUAAAUCAAGAACACAAUUGUGAUGAGAUUUUUGAGAACAGGAGAGCUAAUGUGGAAACUUUAGCUCAUUAUUUUAAGAAGAAAGUUCAGAAUAACCCUAAAUAUAAGAUUAAAGACAUGAAGGUAGACUUGGAAUCUGAAUUUAGCCUUAAUAUAAAUGAGUCAAAGUUGAAGAGGGUUAAGAGCCUAGUCUUGGACAAACUAGAUGGUAGUUAUACUGAUGAUUAUAAUAAGUUGGAGGCAUAUGUAGAAGAACUGAGGAAGAGUAAUCCAGGAUCUGAUGUAGUGAUCAAUUUUUCCAAAGAUGCUAUGGAAGAAGGCAAAAGAAGAUUUUUAAGGUUGUAUGUGUGCUUCCAAGCUUUGAAGGAAGGUUGAAAAGGAGGUUUGAGACCGCUUAUAGGAUUGGAUAGUACCUUUUUGAAAGGAAAAAAUAGGGGAAUAAUGUUGGUUGCAGUGAGACAAGAUUCGAGUAAUCAUUUCUAUCCACUUGCUUGGGCUGUGGUUGAUAAAGAAACUAAAAGAACUUGGAACUGGUUUGUGGAGUUGUUGAAACACUCUUUGGAUUUGAAAGAUGGUGAAAGAAUUACCUUUGUAUCAUAUAUGGAAAAGGGUUUGUUGGAUGUUGUUAGUAACGUAUACCCACAAGCAAAUCAUAGAUGGUGUGUUAGGCACAUUGAAGCUAAUUGGAGCAAAAAAUAAAAAAGUGGGGAGAUGAAAAAACUUCUUUGGUGGUAUGCCUGGAGCACAUAUGAAAAGGAGUUUAAAGAUCAGUUAAAGAAAUUGGGUCAGCUAGAUGAGGAUGCUGCUAAGGCUUUGGUGAGCUAUCCACCCAAAAAUUGGUGUAGAGCUUAUUUUGACACCCAAUGCAAGUACUUUAUGGUGGACAACAACUUCACAAAAUCUUUCAACUCUUGGAUUGUAGAGGCCAGACAAAAACCAAUUAUAAAGAUGCUUGAAGAUAUUAGGGUGAGGUUAUGAACAUGUUAAGGGAUCACGAAGCUGAGAUUUUACGUUGGAAAGAUGAGUUUUCACCACAUGCAAUGCAGCUUUUUAAAGAUUACAGAGUUAUUGCCAACAACUGUAAGGUUGUGUUCAAUGGUGACAUUGGAUAUGAGGUGGUUGAGGGUACAGAUAGGCAUACAGUCAAUAUGGAGCUUAAGAGAUGCACAUGCAGGGCAUGAAACUUGUCUGGAAUUCCAUGCCCUCAUGCCAUUAAGGCAUUUCUCUAUGGGAGACAAGAUCAUGUUUCUCAAAUACAUUGGUUUUAUUCUAAGGAGGCAUAUUCGAUGGUAUAUAGGCAUAAACUCCAACCUGUUAGGGGAGAAAAAUUCUGGAAAGUGGAGCCCCACCAGGCCAUGGAGCCCCCUACUUUAGCUAAAAUGGUUGGCACACCAAAGGUUAAGAGAACAAGAGAAAAUGAUGAAGCUAAAAACUGACAAGGGAAAUGGUCUGCUUCUAGGAAAGGCCUGUUAAUGACUUGUGAAUAUUGUGGUCAGCCAAAUCACAAUAUAAGAAAGUGCCCAUUGGCAAAUGAUAAGCGCAAACACUUCUUCUAAGAUGAAGGAAAUUCCCAAUCAGCACAAGAAUCUCAAGAAUCUGCAUCUUUUUCCAUUCCAAAACCUGGACUAAAUCAACAGAACAAUCAGUCAUGGAGUCAGCAUUCUAGUCAACUAUCAGUCUUGGAUUAUGAUUCUGGUCCCACUUUAAGGCCUAAAGUGGUCUCAGAAGGAAAAACCCGGCUGCAAACUAGGAUGAUGAAGGAAAAUACUGGAACCAGAAAAAUAAAUUUCAUGGGAGAUCACACUGGUGCUAUGCCAACCAAUCUUCCAUAUUCACCACAAAAACUGACAUGGAAGGGAAAAGAAGCAAUGACUACAACACAGUUACAAGCUGAAAAAGAGAAGAUGAUUUGCAAGCUUAAGGUUAGAAGGGGUACAAGAAUGUAGAAUUAGUUGGGUGUUUAAUAUUUUUGGUGUUAUAUAAAGAGAAUGAAGGAAUGACUUCAAACAAUUAGUGUUUUUGCUGAUUUGUGCUCGUACUGGUUGUUAGACAAUUAAAUAUGGUGAAAGGUUAUGUUAAUGUUCAA